GAUGAACGCUGGCGGCGUGCCUAAUACAUGCAAGUCGAGCGAACAGACGAGGAGCUUGCUCCUCUGACGUUAGCGGCGGACGGGUGAGUAACACGUGGAUAACCUACCUAUAAGACUGGGAUAACUUCGGGAAACCGGAGCUAAUACCGGAUAAUAUAUUGAACCGCAUGGUUCAAUAGUGAAAGACGGUUUUGCUGUUACUUAUAGAUGGAUCCGCGCCGCAUUAGCUAGUUGGUAAGGUAACGGCUUACCAAGGCAACGAUGCGUAGCCGACCUGAGAGGGUGAUCGGCCACACUGGAACUGAGACACGGUCCAGACUCCUACGGGAGGCAGCAGUAGGGAAUCUUCCGCAAUGGGCGAAAGCCUGACGGAGCAACGCCGCGUGAGUGAUGAAGGUCUUCGGAUCGUAAAACUCUGUUAUUAGGGAAGAACAAAUGUGUAAGUAACUAUGCACGUCUUGACGGUACCUAAACAGAAAGCCACGGCUAACUACGUG
RNAcentral lists this ribosomal RNA (497 nucleotides) under uncultured bacterium. RNAcentral describes it as "partial 16S ribosomal RNA". It matches the Rfam family "Bacterial small subunit ribosomal RNA", at positions 28 to 507 of the family's 1533-position model. The record is from RNAcentral.